UUGCGGGGGAGCAUCACAGUGGGAUAGUGUUGGAGCCAUUCAGCGAGUGUGAGAUUUUUAAUGAUGACUGAUCACGUGGAGAAACUUGGAUCUACUGAUGAGAAAACUGGGGGACCAAUGGGGAAACCGAGGGACAGUUGAGAAAGCUGAGGGAGAGACAAAAUCAUGUAUCUGAGGAGCCAAUCCCAGCCGGAAGAGGAAGAGACUAGGGAAAAAUGGAAGCCAUUGGAAGGCACUGGGACCUAUUCAUUUCAACACUCUGCCCACAGUGAGAUUAUAGGAGAUACUGUGGGGCCCUGGAGAUGAAGCUCACUCAGUACCUGCCCUCAAGUUACCCCCAAUCCACAGGAAGAAAUGUUAUCACACAUCAGCUUGAGGAAAGUACACAAGCUAAAUUAAAUGCUAUAGAGGUCUGGGGGGAUUGGGGAGGCUUCACAGAGAAGGACACAUUGUAGUAGCAGUCACUAGAUGGAGAAGGAGGAUAGUAAGGGCACAGCAAGCAGAGACCUGCUGAGCUAAGGCACAGAGGCACAAAAGGACAUGUGAAGGUGUGAAGUCAGGAGGAGAUGACAUGGUGGACACAAGGAACUGGUCAAGUACUUUCUGUGAUUUAGCCAACAGGUUGCUAUGGCUGGCUGUGAGUAGACUAAACAGCUUUCACCAUUCAAACUAAGUGGCUUGCAUGUGGCACUCUCUGUGGGUCCUGUUCUGACUCCUUUCUACCUCAGUCACAAGCUGAAGGCCCUACCCUGUUACCUUCCUGCCUCUGCUACCCUGCUUGCCCUUUCCCCUUACACACAUGGUCACACAUACAUGUGUCCACACACAUGCACAGAAACCCGAACACAACCAUGUAAAUCUAAAAUCUCACUCUCCUGAGAGUGCUCUCUAUGGUCUACUGUCCGUCCUUCCUGCUACGUGUAUUGCUGUUGAUUGUUGGCUACAUCAAAUUAC
Microcebus murinus (gray mouse lemur) is the source of this 954-nucleotide non-coding RNA. The record is from RefSeq and is a predicted model, not a curated record. Lineage: Eukaryota; Metazoa; Chordata; Mammalia; Primates; Cheirogaleidae.